GAGAUCUGGCACUCUCUUCUGGUGUGUCUGAAGAGAGCUACAGUGUACUUAGUAAAUAAAUCUUUAAAAAAAAAAAAAAAAAAGAACGGCAUCAACAAACCUGCGAGGAGCUAGAACUCAAGGUGACCAUGGUUGUCUGACUUGAAGCAGAAACUAUUUGUUUCACAGGGGUUGCAAAUAUGGCUCAGUUGUAGAGGUAACAAUGCAUCCCACAGAGGACCUGGCUUCAGUUUCAAGUACAUACAUCAGAAGCUCAGAAGCACCUGUUCCCUCAGCUCCAGGGCAUCUGACAGCCUGUUCUGGUCUCCACAGACACCUAUAUUAAUAUGAGCACAAACCAAUCACAGAAGUACACAAAAACAUAAUUGAAAAUAAAUAUUAAA
Long non-coding RNA from Mastomys coucha (southern multimammate mouse), 383 nucleotides. RefSeq lists it as uncharacterized. The record is from RefSeq and is a predicted model, not a curated record. Lineage: Eukaryota; Metazoa; Chordata; Mammalia; Rodentia; Muridae. The transcript has 2 exons.